GAUGACGCUGGCGGCAGGCUUACACAUGCAAGUCGAGCGGGGGAAGGUAGCUUGCUACCGGACCUAGCGGCGGACGGGUGAGUAAUGCUUAGGAAUCUGCCUAUUAGUGGGGGACAACAUCUCGAAAGGGAUGCUAAUACCGCAUACGUCCUACGGGAGAAAGCAGGGGAUCUUCGGACCUUGCGCUAAUAGAUGAGCCUAAGUCGGAUUAGCUAGUUGGUGGGGUAAAGGCCUACCAAGGCGACGAUCUGUAGCGGGUCUGAGAGGAUGAUCCGCCACACUGGGACUGAGACACGGCCCAGACUCCUACGGGAGGCAGCAGUGGGGAAUAUUGGACAAUGGGGGGAACCCUGAUCCAGCCAUGCCGCGUGUGUGAAGAAGGCCUUAUGGUUGUAAAGCACUUUAAGCGAGGAGGAGGCUACUUUAGUUAAUACCUAGAGAUAGUGGACGUUACUCGCAGAAUAAGCACCGGCUAACUCUGUGCCAGCAGCCGCGGUAAUACAGAGGGUGCGAGCGUUAAUCGGAUUUACUGGGCGUAAAGCGUGCGUAGGCGGCUUAUUAAGUCGGAUGUGAAAUCCCCGAGCUUAACUUGGGAAUUGCAUUCGAUACUGGUGAGCUAGAGUAUGGGAGAGGAUGGUAGAAUUCCAGGUGUAGCGGUGAAAUGCGUAGAGAUCUGGAGGAAUACCGAUGGCGAAGGCAGCCAUCUGGCCUAAUACUGACGCUGAGGUACGAAAGCAUGGGGAGCAAACAGGAUUAGAUACCCUGGUAGUCCAUGCCGUAAACGAUGUCUACUAGCCGUUGGGGCCUUUGAGGCUUUAGUGGCGCAGCUAACGCGAUAAGUAGACCGCCUGGGGAGUACGGUCGCAAGACUAAAACUCAAAUGAAUUGACGGGGGCCCGCACAAGCGGUGAGCAUGUGGUUUAAUUCGAUGCAACGCGAAGAACCUUACCUGGCCUUGACAUACUAGAAACUUUCCAGAGAUGGAUUGGUGC
This 992-nucleotide ribosomal RNA is filed under the name Acinetobacter baumannii. RNAcentral describes it as "bacterial SSU rRNA". It matches the Rfam family "Bacterial small subunit ribosomal RNA", at positions 27 to 1017 of the family's 1533-position model. Lineage: Bacteria; Pseudomonadati; Pseudomonadota; Gammaproteobacteria; Moraxellales; Moraxellaceae. The record is from RNAcentral.